ACAUAUAUGUACAUGUGUCUUUAUGAAAGAACGAUUUAAAUUCCUUUGGACAUAUACCUAGUAAUGGUAUUGCCGGGUCAAAUGGUAGUUCUGUUUUCAGAUUUUUGAAGAAUUGCUUUCUACAAUGAUUAAACCAAUUUACACGCCCACCAACGGUGUCUGAGUGUUCCCUUUUCUCCACAAGCUCACCAGCAUCUGUUUUCUCCAGAUUUUUU
Long non-coding RNA from Sapajus apella (tufted capuchin), 215 nucleotides. RefSeq lists it as uncharacterized. Lineage: Eukaryota; Metazoa; Chordata; Mammalia; Primates; Cebidae. The record is from RefSeq and is a predicted model, not a curated record. The transcript is spliced from 3 exons.